GGGUCAGUAGGUUGGUCGUGCCACCGGUACGUACUGGUCUCACUGAUUCCUCCUUCCUGAAGAACCGUAAUGCCAUUAAUUUGGUGUUGCGGGGAGACAGGACUGUUACUUUGAAAAAAUUAGAGUGUUUAAAGCAAGCUAACGCUUGAAUACAUAAGCAUGGAAUAAUGAAAUAGGACGAUCGAUCCUAUUUUGUUGGUUUCUAGGAUUGACGUA
RNAcentral lists this ribosomal RNA (216 nucleotides) under Glomeromycotina sp. RNAcentral describes it as "partial small subunit ribosomal RNA". The stretch from base 40 to 216 matches the Rfam family "Eukaryotic small subunit ribosomal RNA", at positions 686 to 864 of the family's 1831-position model. The record is from RNAcentral. Lineage: Eukaryota; Fungi; Glomeromycota.